Phacochoerus africanus (Common warthog) is the source of this 1301-nucleotide long non-coding RNA. RefSeq lists it as uncharacterized. Lineage: Eukaryota; Metazoa; Chordata; Mammalia; Artiodactyla; Suidae. The record is from RefSeq and is a predicted model, not a curated record. The transcript has 4 exons.
CACGGGGGAGCGGGCUGGGUGCUACUGGGAGACCAGGUCCUGAAGCAGUUAAAGAUCCAAGUCUCCCAGGUCAGGUCCGCCCCAGCCCCAGAGGCUUCAAGGGGCCAAAGGACUGUGGGGAGUCUGAGGACGUUUCUCUAGGAGACAGACCGGGCGGAGCUGGGAGUUCGGCGGUUUGUAUUGGUGCCGAAAACAGUACUCAGCUAUGGCUCGGAGCUUCAGCAGUAAAGACUUGUCUGCCAAGGCGGGAUUAGAUCCGUCGGCUCAAGAGCUCCGUCCCCCACCUUCCCCUACCCAGCGAGGGCCGUGAGGGCGCCAGGGAUGCUUGGGGAGCUCUGCUCGGUUUCCAGUCGCGCACCGGGUCUCCGCGCACCACGUGCGCCCAAGGCCUCAGGAAUCUUUAGAAACAUCCCGAUUUGAGGGGCCUCCAUGUGAGAGCAGAUGAUAGGCGGAGGCCAUGGUCUCCUGAGCUUUGCAGAGGAAGAGCAGCUGCAGAGGGGCUGGUGCGUCUGAAAAGCCCCUUCGAGAAACAUGCACAGAGCCGGGUCACAGGCACAAAUCUGAGAUGGGACAGAGGCAGACUGUGCAAUUAUAUUUCAGCAUCAUGAGUUCCCAGAUUCUGAGCAAAGAAUUUUGUGGUCCCUUUCCUUUUAAAAAUGCAAAAUAACCCUCUUUUCAUCACAGAAGCCAUCUUCUACACCUUUUGUGGGACCUCCUGCAAAAAGCAGCAGAGUUUGCUCUGUUUCUUUUAAAAAUAAAGUACUAAAGUGUCGUGCUGGAAAUUAUGCUACUAAGUGUUACAUGUGGUCUGGAGGACGCACUGAAGCGUUCUCCCAUCAUGCAAGGGAGAAAACGAAGCUCUCUACUGGCCUCUAUCGGAGAAGCUAAAAAUUUCCCUCUCUUUCCUGCAAGUUUCCCAAACAUCACGAUUCUGAUUUCCAGGUCAGAGAGUAAGGUUGUAUUCUUUGCAUAUGGAGAGUCCCUGGAACUGCAUUGUGAUGGGCUAAUUAUUAUGAACCUAUUGUGAGCAAGGCCAGGCCCUGGGUGUGGCAGAAGAAACUCAACACACCUGCUCAAUGAUCUGCGGGCCCCAAGUGCUCCUGAUGAACAGCUCCCUCCCUGCAGCCUGGAGUUGGUGAGCAGACUCUUUCUUUGGGCUGAGCCAGUUCCCAUGAUUUUUAAGGGAUUGGGGCAAGGACCCAAUAUUUAAGAGGACUGGAAAGCUGUAUGUGGCAUUUCUGAUUUCAUUCCUAAGUGGUAGUUCCCUUAAGUAUGUGGAAAAUAAAUUUUGCUAAAAUUUU